GUGCUUUUAGCUCAGUGGUAGAGUAGCAGAUUGCAAUGCGCAAUCAUCUGUGGGUCCCGCGUUCGAACCGCGGAAGGCACU
RNAcentral lists this transfer RNA (81 nucleotides) under Cytophagaceae bacterium. RNAcentral describes it as "tRNA-Cys". It matches the Rfam family "tRNA". From Rfam's summary of the family: Transfer RNA (tRNA) molecules are approximately 80 nucleotides in length. Their secondary structure includes four short double-helical elements and three loops (D, anti-codon, and T loops). The record is from RNAcentral. Lineage: Bacteria; Pseudomonadati; Bacteroidota; Cytophagia; Cytophagales; Cytophagaceae.